Molecule: ribosomal RNA, 253 nt
Filed under: uncultured bacterium
Lineage: Bacteria
Description: partial 16S ribosomal RNA
Rfam family: Bacterial small subunit ribosomal RNA
Source: RNAcentral
UACGAAGGGGGCUAGCGUUGCUCGGAAUUACUGGGCGUAAAGGGCGCGUAGGCGGAUAUUUAAGUCGGGGGUGAAAGCCCAGGGCUCAACCCUGGAAUAGCCUUCGAUACUGGAUAUCUUGAGUUCGGGAGAGGUGAGUGGAACUCUGAGUGUAGAGGUGAAAUUCGUAGAUAUUCGGAAGAACACCAGUGGCGAAGGCGACUCACUGGCCCGAUACUGACGCUGAGGCGCGAAAGCGUGGGGAGCAAACAGG